GAUGAACGCUGGCGGCGUGCUUAACACAUGCAAGUCGAACGAAGCAUUUGCGACAGAUUUUUUCGGAAUGAAGUUGCUUAUGACUGAGUGGCGGACGGGUGAGUAACGCGUGGGUAACCUGCCUUGUACUGGGGGAUAGCAGCUGGAAACGGCUGGUAAUACCGCAUAAGCGCACAAUGUUGCAUGACAUGUUGUGAAAAACUCCGGUGGGAUAAGAUGGACCCGCGUCUGAUUAGCUAGUUGGUGAGAUAACAGCCCACCAAGGCGACGAUCAGUAGCCGACCUGAGAGGGUGACCGGCCACAUUGGGACUGAGACACGGCCCAGACUCCUACGGGAGGCAGCAGUGGGGAAUAUUGCACAAUGGAGGAAACUAUGAUGCAGCGACGCCGCGUGAGUGAAGAAGUAAUUCGUGAUGUAAAGCUCUAUCAGCAGGGAAGAUAGUGACGGUACCUGACUAAGAAGCUCCGGCUAAAUACGUG
This 481-nucleotide ribosomal RNA is filed under the name uncultured bacterium. RNAcentral's name for it is "partial 16S ribosomal RNA". It matches the Rfam family "Bacterial small subunit ribosomal RNA", at positions 28 to 507 of the family's 1533-position model. The record is from RNAcentral.